ACCGCGUCGCCCCCCACCCCAAACCAAGGGGAUCGGGGGCGGAUUAUGGCCCCCCGUGCGCUCCUAGCUCGCGGUCGGCCUAAACACAGACCCCGUGGCCGCGAAACGCCGCGAUGAUUGGUGGUGUACUUGUGGCCUUGUGCCCCGAGCAUCGCGUCGCGGCUUUGGCGUGCCAUGUGUGCUCAAAGGACCCCAAGGAGGACCCCCGUCACCCCGAGUGCCGUUGGGGACCUCCAAACCGUU
This 243-nucleotide unclassified non-coding RNA is filed under the name Persicaria filiformis. RNAcentral describes it as "ITS2". The record is from RNAcentral. Lineage: Eukaryota; Viridiplantae; Streptophyta; Magnoliopsida; Caryophyllales; Polygonaceae.